UCGAGGACCUGGUACUCAAGGGAGGGGCUCAUGUCCUAUCAGCUUGUUGGUGGGGUAACGGCCUACCAAGGCUACGACGGGUAGCUGGUCUGAGAGGAUGAUCAGCCACACUGGCACUGAGAUACGGGCCAGACUCCUACGGGAGGCAGCAGUGAGGAAUAUUGCGCAAUGGGCGAAAGCCUGACGCAGCGACGCCGCGUGGGGGAUGAAGGUUUUCGGAUUGUAAACCCCUUUCAUGAGGAAAGAUAAAGUGGGUAACUACUUAGACGGUACCUCAAGAAGAAGCCACGGCUAACUUCGUG
This 302-nucleotide ribosomal RNA is filed under the name uncultured bacterium. RNAcentral describes it as "bacterial SSU rRNA". It matches the Rfam family "Bacterial small subunit ribosomal RNA", at positions 202 to 507 of the family's 1533-position model. The record is from RNAcentral.